Molecule: long non-coding RNA, 377 nt
Filed under: Mytilus galloprovincialis (Mediterranean mussel)
Lineage: Eukaryota; Metazoa; Mollusca; Bivalvia; Mytilida; Mytilidae
Source: RNAcentral
GCAGUUUUUUGUUAUUAUCUUGAAUACUAUUAUAGAUAGAGAUAAACUGUAAACAGCAAUAAUGUUCAGCAAAAUAAGACCUACAAAUAAGUCAACAUGACCAAAAUUGUCAGUAAACCCCUUAAGGAGUUAUUGCCCUUUAUAGUCAAUUUUAACAACUUUUUCGUCAUUUUUUGUAACUUGUACAAAAAUCUUCUUCUCUGAAACUACUGGGCCAAAUUUAAACUUACUUGGCCACAAACAUAAUUGUGUUAUAUAGUUUUAAAAGUGUGUCCGAUGACCCCACCUACCAAACAAAAUGGCCGACAUGGCUAAAAUUAGAACAUAGUGGUAAAAUGCAGUUUUUGCGUUCUAUCUAUGAAACUAAGACAUUUAGG